This 395-nucleotide ribosomal RNA is filed under the name uncultured bacterium. RNAcentral's name for it is "partial 16S ribosomal RNA". It matches the Rfam family "Bacterial small subunit ribosomal RNA", at positions 523 to 918 of the family's 1533-position model. The record is from RNAcentral.
AUACGUAGGGUGCAAGCGUUAAUCGGAAUUACUGGGCGUAAAGCGUGCGCAGGCGGUUUUGUAAGACAGAAGUGAAAUCCCCGGGCUCCACCUGGGAACUGCCUUUGUGACUGCAAGGCUAGAGUACGGCAGAGGGGGGUGGAAUUCCGCGUGUAGCAGUGAAAUGCGUAGAUAUGCGGAGGAACACCGAUGGCGAAGGCAAUCCCCUGGGCCUGUACUGACGCUCAUGCACGAAAGCGUGGGGAGCAAACAGGAUUAGAUACCCUGGUAGUCCACGCCCUAAACGAUGUCAACUGGUUGUUGGGUCUUCAUUGACUCAGUAACGAAGCUAACGCGUGAAGUUGACCGCCUGGGGAGUACGGCCGCAAGGUUGAAACUCAAAUGAAUUGACGGGG